GCGGAGGGAUCAUUACCGAGUUUACAACUCCCAAACCCCUGUGAACACACCUUACUGUUGCCUCGGCGGAUCAUGCCCGCUCCCGGUAAAACGGGACGGCCCGCCAGAGGACCCCUAAACUCUGUUUCUAUAUGUAACUUCUGAGUAAAACCAUAAAUAAAUCAAAACUUUCAACAACGGAUCUCUUGGUUCUGGCAUCGAUGAAGAACGCAGCAAAAUGCGAUAAGUAAUGUGAAUUCCAGAAUUCAGUGAUUCAUCGAAUCUUUGAAGGCACAUUGCGCCCGCCACUAUUCUGGCGGGCAUGCCUGUUCGAGCGUCAUUUCAACCCUCAAGCACAACUUGGUG
This 345-nucleotide ribosomal RNA is filed under the name uncultured fungus. RNAcentral describes it as "partial 5.8S ribosomal RNA". The stretch from base 166 to 319 matches the Rfam family "5.8S ribosomal RNA". The record is from RNAcentral. Lineage: Eukaryota; Fungi.